This 253-nucleotide ribosomal RNA is filed under the name uncultured bacterium. RNAcentral's name for it is "partial 16S ribosomal RNA". It matches the Rfam family "Bacterial small subunit ribosomal RNA", at positions 524 to 776 of the family's 1533-position model. The record is from RNAcentral.
UACAGAGGGGGCAAGCGUUGUUCGGAAUUACUGGGCGUAAAGGGCGCGUAGGCGGCCUGCUAAGUCGAACGUGAAAUCCCUGGGCUCAACCCAGGAACUGCGUCCGAUACUGGUUGGCUUGAAUCCGGGAGAGGGAUGUGGAAUUCCAGGUGUAGCGGUGAAAUGCGUAGAUAUCUGGAGGAACACCGGUGGCGAAGGCGACAUCCUGGACCUGUUCUGACACUGAGGAGCGAAAGCGUGGGGAGCGAUCCGG